Non-coding RNA from Drosophila suzukii, 470 nucleotides. Lineage: Eukaryota; Metazoa; Arthropoda; Insecta; Diptera; Drosophilidae. The record is from RefSeq and is a predicted model, not a curated record.
UGAUAAAUUCGGCCAUGUUGCAUAAACAGGAGCAAAUUUUAUUUCACGCUUUUACGAAAUUAUGAAACCCUUAGCAUAAACAUAGUAUAUAAAAGACCGCAAUUAUGGGCAACCAGAACUAUUUGGUUUCCCAUCACGAUAAUGAACCAGUUCACGAUUUACUCGUUCUUAGUGACCAUUUCGGUAAAUAUUCGAUGCGUGUCGUUCCGCACCCACCGUAUUUGUCUGGAUUGGAAUAAACGUUGACAUAAGAUUGUUUUAUCGGAAGGAGACUACUUUAAAGAGAAUGAAACUGGUUGAAAGAAUAAAUUUAAAAAUUUCAUUUCAGAAAUAAAUUCACCUUACUGUUCUGUCCACAAUAACCAGCGCUAUCUCAACCCUAUCUCAGAUCGGCUAACAGUUUCACUAGUCGAAUUCUUUGUAGUCGGACCGAAGAUUCAGCAUUCACCCACAAUGCAUCUAGCAUGGUC